ACGAACGCUGGCGGCGUGCUUAACACAUGCAAGUCGAACGCGCAGCAUUCUGUAGCAAUACAGGGUGUGGGCGCGUGGCGAACGGGUGCGUAACACGUGGAUAACCUUCCUUCAGGUGGGGAAUAACCCAGUGAAAAUUGGGCUAAUACCGCAUAACAUCGCGAUGGCACAUGCUGUUGCGUUCAAAGGCGCAAGUCGCCAGAAGAGGGAUCCGCGGCCGAUUAGCUUGUUGGUGGGGUAACGGCCCACCAAGGCUUUGAUCGGUAGCCGGACUGAGAGGUUGGCCGGCCACACUGGAACUGAGACACGGUCCAGACUCCUACGGGAGGCAGCAGUGGGGAAUCUUGCACAAUGGACGAAAGUCUGAUGCAGCAACGCCGCGUGGGGGAUGAAGCUUCUCGGAGUGUAAACCCCUUUCGACCCGGACGAAUGCCCGCAAGGGUUUGACGGUACGGGUAUAAGAAGCCCCGGCUAACUACGUGCCAGCAGCCGCGGUAAUACAAGGGCGAAUUCCACAGUG
RNAcentral lists this ribosomal RNA (520 nucleotides) under uncultured bacterium. RNAcentral describes it as "bacterial SSU rRNA". It matches the Rfam family "Bacterial small subunit ribosomal RNA", at positions 37 to 537 of the family's 1533-position model. The record is from RNAcentral.